UAGCUAGUUGGUGAGGUAAAGGCUUACCAAGGCGACGAUCUGUAGCGGGUCUGAGAGGAUGAUCCGCCACACUGGAACUGAGACACGGUCCAGACUCCUACGGGAGGCAGCAGUGGGGAAUUUUGGACAAUGGGGGCAACCCUGAUCCAGCCAUGCCGCGUGAGUGAAGAAGGCCUUCGGGUUGUAAAGCUCUUUCGGCCGGGAAGAAAUCGCAUGGGCCAAUACCCUGUGUGGAUGACGGUACCGGAAUAAGAAGCACCGGCUAACUACGUGCCAGCAGCCGCGGUAAUACGUAGGGUGCGAGCGUUAAUCGGAAUUACUGGGCGUAAAGCGUGCGCAGGCGGUUUUGUAAGACAGGCGUGAAAUCCCCGGGCUUAACCUGGGAACUGCGUUUGUGACUGCAAGGCUAGAGUACGGCAGAGGGGGGUGGAAUUCCACGUGUAGCAGUGAAAUGCGUAGAGAUGUGGAGGAACACCAAUGGCGAAGGCAGCCCCCUGGGUCGAUACUGACGCUCAUGCACGAAAGCGUGGGUAGCAAACAGGAUUAGAUACCCUGGUAGUCCACGCCCUAAACUAUGUCAACUAGGUGUUGGGUGGGUAAAACCAUUUAGUACCGUAGCUAACGCGUGAAGUUGACCGCCUGGGGAGUACGGCCGCAAGGUUAAAACUCAAAGGAAUUGACGGGGACCCGCACAAGCGGUGGAUGAUGUGGAUUAAUUCGAUUCAACGCGAAAAACCUUACCUACCCUUGACAUGCCAGGAACUUGCCAGAGAUGGCUUGGUGCCCGAAAGGGAGCCUGGACACAGGUGCUGCAUGGCUGUCGUCAGCUCGUGUCGUGAGAUGUUGGGUUAAGUCCCGCAACGAGCGCAACCCUUGUCGUUAAUUGCCAUCAUUUAGUUGGGCACUUUAACGAGACUGCCGGUGACAAACCGGAGGAAGGUGGGGAUGACGUCAAGUCCUCAUGGCCCUUAUGGGUAGGGCUUCACACGUCAUACAAUGGUCGGUACAAAGGGUUGCCAAGCCGCGAGGCGGAGCCAAUCCCAGAAAGCCGAUCGUAGUCCGGAUUGCAGGCUGCAACUCGCCUGCAUGAAGUCGGAAUCGCUAGUAAUCGUGGAUCAGCAUGUCACGGUGAAUACGUUCCCGGGUCUUGUACACACCGCCCGUCACACCAUGGGAGCGGGUUCCGCCAGAAGUAGGUAGCCUAACCGCAAGGGGGGCGCUUACCACGGCGGGGUUCGUGACUGGGGUGAAGUCGUAACAAGGUAGCCGUAGGGGAACCUGCGGCUG
This 1287-nucleotide ribosomal RNA is filed under the name metagenome. Its description in RNAcentral is "bacterial SSU rRNA". It matches the Rfam family "Bacterial small subunit ribosomal RNA", at positions 242 to 1520 of the family's 1533-position model. The record is from RNAcentral.